GCUGGGCAUGGUGGCGCAUGCCUGUAAUCCCAGCUACUUGGGAGGCUGAGGCAGGAGAAUUGUUUGAACCUGGGAGGUGGAGGUAGCAGUGAGCCAAGAUUGCACCACUGCACCCCAGCCUGGGUAACAGAGCAAGACUCUGUCUCAA
This 148-nucleotide signal recognition particle RNA is filed under the name Nomascus leucogenys (northern white-cheeked gibbon). RNAcentral's name for it is "Metazoan signal recognition particle RNA". It matches the Rfam family "Metazoan signal recognition particle RNA". From Rfam's summary of the family: The signal recognition particle (SRP) is a universally conserved ribonucleoprotein. It is involved in the co-translational targeting of proteins to membranes. Lineage: Eukaryota; Metazoa; Chordata; Mammalia; Primates; Hylobatidae. The record is from Rfam by way of RNAcentral.